AUUGAACGCUGGCGGAAUGCUUUACACAUGCAAGUCGAACGGUAGAGGGGGCAACCCCUCGAGAGUGGCGAACGGGUGAGUAAUAUAUCGGAACGUGCCCAGUCGUGGGGGAUAACGUAGCGAAAGUUACGCUAAUACCGCAUACGAUCUAAGGAUGAAAGCGGGGGAUCGCAAGACCUCGCGCGAUUGGAGCGGCCGAUAUCAGAUUAGGUAGUUGGUGGGGUAAAGGCUCACCAAGCCAACGAUCUGUAGCUGGUCUGAGAGGACGACCAGCCACACUGGAACUGAGACACGGUCCAGACUCCUACGGGAGGCAGCAGUGGGGAAUUUUGGACAAUGGACGCAAGUCUGAUCCAGCCAUUCCGCGUGCAGGAUGAAGGCCCUCGGGUUGUAAACUGCUUUUGUACGGAACGAAAAGGUCUCUCUUAACACGGGGGGCUCAUGACGGUACCGUAAGAAUAAGCACCGGCUAACCACGUGCCAGCCGCCGCGGUAA
This 496-nucleotide ribosomal RNA is filed under the name uncultured bacterium. Its description in RNAcentral is "partial 16S ribosomal RNA". It matches the Rfam family "Bacterial small subunit ribosomal RNA", at positions 30 to 523 of the family's 1533-position model. The record is from RNAcentral.